RNAcentral lists this ribosomal RNA (429 nucleotides) under Actinomycetes bacterium. RNAcentral's name for it is "Actinobacteria bacterium partial 16S ribosomal RNA". It matches the Rfam family "Bacterial small subunit ribosomal RNA", at positions 355 to 776 of the family's 1533-position model. Lineage: Bacteria; Bacillati; Actinomycetota; Actinomycetes. The record is from RNAcentral.
UAGGGAAUCUUCCGCAAUGGGCGAAAGCCUGACGGAGCAACGCCGCGUGAGUGAUGAAGGUCUUCGGAUCGUAAAACUCUGUUAUUAGGGAAGAACAAAUGUGUAAGUAACUAUGCACGUCUUGACGGUACCUAAUCACAAAGCCACGGCUAACUACGUGCCAGCAGCCGCGGUAAUACGUAGGUGGCAAGCGUUAUCCGGAAUUAUUGGGCGUAAAGCGCGCGUAGGCGGUUUUUUAAGUCUGAUGUGAAAGCCCACGGCUCAACCGUGGAGGGUCAUUGGAAACUGGAAAACUUGAGUGCAGAAGAGGAAAGUGGAAUUCCAUGUGUAGCGGUGAAAUGCGCAGAGAUAUGGAGGAACACCAGUGGCGAAGGCGACUUUCUGGUCUGUAACUGACGCUGAUGUGCGAAAGCGUGGGGAUCAAACAGG